CUACGGGUCGCAGCAGUGGGGAAUAUUGGACAAUGGGGGAAACCCUGAUCCAGCAAUGCCGCGUGUGUGAAGAAGGCCUGCGGGUUGUAAAGCACUUUCGGUUGGGAGGACUGCUUCUAGCACUAAUAUUGUUGGAAGUUGACGUUACCUUCAGAAGAAGCACCGGCUAACUCCGUGCCAGCAGCCGCGGUAAUACGGAUGGUGCAAGCGUGAAUCGGAAUUACUGGGCGUAAAGCGCGCGUAGGCGGCUAGAUCAGUCGGGUGUGAAAGCCCCGGGCCUAACCUGGGAACUGCAUCCGAUACUGUCUAGCUUGAGUACAGGAGAGGAGAGUGGAAUUCCACAUGUAGCGGUGAAAUGCGUAUAUAUGUGGAGGAACACCAAUGGCGAAGGCAGCUCUCUGGCCUGAUACUGACGCUGAGGUGCGAAAGCGUGGGGAGCAAACAGGAUUAGAUACCCCGGUAGUC
This 465-nucleotide ribosomal RNA is filed under the name uncultured bacterium. RNAcentral's name for it is "partial 16S ribosomal RNA". It matches the Rfam family "Bacterial small subunit ribosomal RNA", at positions 339 to 795 of the family's 1533-position model. The record is from RNAcentral.